AACGAUGAUGCCCAGCUUGCUGGGCGGAUUAGUGGCGAACGGGUGAGUAAUACGUGAGUAACCUGCCCUUGACUCUGGGAUAAGCCUGGGAAACUGGGUCUAAUACUGGAUACUACCUCUUACCGCAUGGUGGGUGGUGGAAAGGGUUUUACUGGUUUUGGAUGGGCUCACGGCCUAUCAGCUUGUUGGUGGGGUAAUGGCUCACCAAGGCGACGACGGGUAGCCGGCCUGAGAGGGUGACCGGCCACACUGGGACUGAGACACGGCCCAGACUCCUACGGGAGGCAGCAGUGGGGAAUAUUGCACAAUGGGCGGAAGCCUGAUGCAGCGACGCCGCGUGAGGGAUGACGGCCUUCGGGUUGUAAACCUCUUUCAGUAGGGAAGAAGCGAGAGUGACGGUACCUGC
This 406-nucleotide ribosomal RNA is filed under the name Kocuria sp. RNAcentral describes it as "bacterial SSU rRNA". It matches the Rfam family "Bacterial small subunit ribosomal RNA", at positions 65 to 482 of the family's 1533-position model. Lineage: Bacteria; Bacillati; Actinomycetota; Actinomycetes; Micrococcales; Micrococcaceae. The record is from RNAcentral.